Small nucleolar RNA from Lemur catta (Ring-tailed lemur), 104 nucleotides. RefSeq annotates it as small nucleolar RNA U13. The transcript has a single exon. The record is from RefSeq and is a predicted model, not a curated record. NCBI's taxonomy places the organism in Eukaryota, Metazoa, Chordata, Mammalia, Primates, Lemuridae.
AUCCUUUUGUAGUUCCUACGUAUGAUGACUGGGUGUUCUCGUGCAUGCAUGACAUGUGCCUCCCUCAAACCUUGUGAGGUUGUUAGCACAUUACCUGUUUAAUA